RNAcentral lists this long non-coding RNA (393 nucleotides) under Ananas comosus (pineapple). RNAcentral's name for it is "long non-coding RNA (ACOM_LNC032930)". Lineage: Eukaryota; Viridiplantae; Streptophyta; Magnoliopsida; Poales; Bromeliaceae. The record is from RNAcentral.
AGAGGACUUAAUGGGGCAUACCGUUAAUAAUGCUGUAUGAGUCUUAAAACGAUCCAAAAGUUAAAAAGCCAUAAGCACAAAUUCUCCCAUACUUUUAAAAGCAGAGGAGCUCAACUCAUUAUAUUAUAAAUUGUAUAUUAUUUCACGAAUUAGGCUACUAUAUUAUUAAUAGCACCAAGUCAUUGGUGUUAUUAGGUUUUCGGCCCUUGGAUGAGGGAAUAUGCUGUUCGGAUGAUAGUGGUCUCCUAGAGUUGAGUUGGUGGUUGGUUGAAUACUAUGAUCUAAUCAGUAUAAAUAGUUAAAGGAAUAGAUCUAACAGUAAAAAACUGAUAGCACCAGGUAUUUGGUGUUAUCCAUAGUAUAGUAGCCGUACUCAUUAUUUCACUAUCUAAU